UAAUAAUAAUUACUUUUUAUUACAACAAUAAUUACUUAACCAAAUAACUAAGAAGAAAAGUUAUAACGAGUGAAAAUAACUUUACUUUUCUUUAUGUAUAUAUAUAAAAAAUAAACGAAAAAUAAAGAAAAUACCAAAAUGAUAAAAAAAACCAAAAUAUAUUAUAAAAUGCAAAAAAAACCAGUAAAAUUAAAAAAAUGCAAAAGAAAAAUAGUAAAAAAAAAAGAAAAUACUGAUAAGAAAAAAAGAAAAAAUAUAUAAAAAAAUCAAGUAAGGGAAAAAGGAAACUUUAAAAAAAAAAAAAAAACCGUGAAAAAAACCCUACCAAAAAACGCAAAAGAAGAAGAAGAAAAGCACAAAAGUGGGGAUUAAGAGGAUCGAACUUGUGACCUUGAAUAAAAGGAGAGGUGAUGCCACUGCAGCACCUUACAAUUAUGUGCAUAAAAGGAG
This 450-nucleotide long non-coding RNA is filed under the name Salvia miltiorrhiza (redroot sage). RNAcentral describes it as "long non-coding RNA (SMIL_LNC001996)". The record is from RNAcentral. Lineage: Eukaryota; Viridiplantae; Streptophyta; Magnoliopsida; Lamiales; Lamiaceae.